GAGACAGCAGCCGCGGUAAUACGUAGGUGGCAAGCGUUGUCCGGAAUUAUUGGGCGUAAAGGGCUCGCAGGCGGUUUCUUAAGUCUGAUGUGAAAGCCCCCGGCUCAACCGGGGAGGGUCAUUGGAAACUGGGAAACUUGAGUGCAGAAGAGGAGAGUGGAAUUCCACGUGUAGCGGUGAAAUGCGUAGAGAUGUGGAGGAACACCAGUGGCGAAGGCGACUCUCUGGUCUGUAACUGACGCUGAGGAGCGAAAGCGUGGGGAGCGAACAGGAUUAGAGACCCGCGUAGUCCCUGUCUCUUAUACACA
Molecule: ribosomal RNA, 308 nt
Filed under: uncultured bacterium
Lineage: Bacteria
Description: partial 16S ribosomal RNA
Rfam family: Bacterial small subunit ribosomal RNA
Source: RNAcentral